GAUGAAGAACGUAGCGAAAUGCGAUAAGUAAUGUGAAUUGCAGAAUUCAGUGAAUCAUCGAAUCUUUGAACGCACAUUGCGCCCGCCAGUAUUCUGGCGGGCAUGCCUGUUCGAGCGUCAUUUCAACCAUCAAGCCCCCGGCUUGUGUUGGGGACCUGCGGCUGCCGCAGGCCCUGAAAACCAGUGGCGGGCUCGCUAGUCACUCCGAGCGUAGUAAUACAUCUCGCUCAGGGCGUGCUGCGGGUUCCGGCCGUUAAAAAAGCCUUAUUUUCCCAAGGUUGACCUCGGAUCAGGUAGGAAGACCCGCUGAACUUAAGCAUAUCAAUAAGCGGAGGA
Molecule: unclassified non-coding RNA, 336 nt
Filed under: soil metagenome
Description: partial contains 5.8S ribosomal RNA, internal transcribed spacer 2, and large subunit ribosomal RNA
Rfam family: 5.8S ribosomal RNA (bases 1-120)
Source: RNAcentral